GCAACACGCCCACACACUAAAAUAUUUACUUUCAAGAAUAUUGAUAUUAACCUCCUUAC
This 59-nucleotide transfer RNA is filed under the name Flustrellidra hispida. RNAcentral describes it as "tRNA-Lys". The record is from RNAcentral. Lineage: Eukaryota; Metazoa; Bryozoa; Gymnolaemata; Ctenostomatida; Flustrellidridae.